GAAAAGAACUUUGAAAAGAGAGUUAAACAGUACGUGAAAUUGUUGAAAGGGAAACGAUUGAAGCCAGUCGUACCGUCGGGAAUUCAACUUUUUAAGUGCUUGUCGUGGGUGAUGUAGAGCCUCACGGCCUUCGUUGCUUUGCGUUAUGGUGCUUUUAGGGUGUACUUUUCCGUAUGGUAGGUCAAUAUCGAUUUUGGUCGUCAUAAAAUGAUCGGAGGAAUGUGGCUUCGAUCUCGUAUCGGAGUGUUAUAGCCUUUGGUAGAUGUGACGAUUGGGAUCGAGGAUUGCAACGAAUACCCU
Molecule: unclassified non-coding RNA, 300 nt
Filed under: uncultured fungus
Lineage: Eukaryota; Fungi
Description: sequence contains 5.8S rRNA gene, ITS2
Rfam family: Eukaryotic large subunit ribosomal RNA
Source: RNAcentral